AGCAGCAGCCGCGGUAAUACGUAGGUGGCAAGCGUUGUCCGGAAUUAUUGGGCGUAAAGGGCUCGCAGGCGGUUUCUUAAGUCUGAUGUGAAAGCCCCCGGCUCAACCGGGGAGGGUCAUUGGAAACUGGGGAACUUGAGUGCAGAAGAGGAGAGUGGAAUUCCACGUGUAGCGGUGAAAUGCGUAGAGAUGUGGAGGAACACCAGUGGCGAAGGCGACUCUCUGGUCUGUAACUGACGCUGAGGAGCGAAAGCGUGGGGAGCGAACAGGAUUAGAUACCCGCGUAGUCCCUGUCUCUUAUAA
RNAcentral lists this ribosomal RNA (303 nucleotides) under uncultured bacterium. Its description in RNAcentral is "partial 16S ribosomal RNA". It matches the Rfam family "Bacterial small subunit ribosomal RNA", at positions 507 to 809 of the family's 1533-position model. The record is from RNAcentral.